This 425-nucleotide ribosomal RNA is filed under the name uncultured bacterium. RNAcentral's name for it is "bacterial SSU rRNA". It matches the Rfam family "Bacterial small subunit ribosomal RNA", at positions 356 to 773 of the family's 1533-position model. The record is from RNAcentral.
GGGGAAUAUUGGACAAUGGGCGAAAGCCUGAUCCAGCCAUGCCGCGUGUGUGAAGAAGGUCUUCGGAUUGUAAAGCACUUUAAGUUGGGAGGAAGGGUUGUAGAUUAAUACUCUGCAAUUUUGACGUUACCGACAGAAUAAGCACCGGCGAACUCUGUGCCAGCAGCCGCGGUAAUACAGAGGGUGCAAGCGUUAAUCGGAAUUACUGGGCGUAAAGCGCGCGUAGGUGGUUUGUUAAGUUGGAUGUGAAAUCCCCGGGCUCAACCUGGGAACUGCAUCCAAAACUGGCAAGCUAGAGUAUGGUAGAGGGUGGUGGAAUUUCCUGUGUAGCGGUGAAAUGCGUAGAUAUAGGAAGGAACACCAGUGGCGAAGGCGACCACCUGGACUGAUACUGACACUGAGGGGCGAAAGCGUGGGGAGCAAAC